This 241-nucleotide ribosomal RNA is filed under the name uncultured bacterium. RNAcentral describes it as "partial 16S ribosomal RNA". It matches the Rfam family "Bacterial small subunit ribosomal RNA", at positions 100 to 334 of the family's 1533-position model. The record is from RNAcentral.
CCGGCACGGGUGAGUAACACGUAUGCAAUCCACCUGUAACAGGGGGAUAACCCGGAGAAGUCCGGACUAAUACCCCAUAAUAUGGGCGCUCCGCAUGGAGAGCCCAUUAAAGAGAGCAAUUUUGGUUACAGACGAGCAUGCGCUCCAUUAGCCAGUUGGCGGGGUAACGGCCCACCAAGGCGACGAUGGAUAGGGGUUCUGAGAGGAAGGUCCCCCACAUUGGAACUGAGACACGGUCCAA